RNAcentral lists this ribosomal RNA (490 nucleotides) under uncultured bacterium. Its description in RNAcentral is "partial 16S ribosomal RNA". It matches the Rfam family "Bacterial small subunit ribosomal RNA", at positions 30 to 507 of the family's 1533-position model. The record is from RNAcentral.
AUUGAACGCUGGCGGCAGGCCUAACACAUGCAAGUCGAACGGUAACAGGAAGAAGCUUGCUUCUUUGCUGACGAGUGGCGGACGGGUGAGUAAUGUCUGGGAAACUGCCUGAUGGAGGGGGAUAACUACUGGAAACGGUAGCUAAUACCGCAUAACGUCGCAAGACCAAAGAGGGGGACCUUCGGGCCUCUUGCCAUCGGAUGUGCCCAGAUGGGAUUAGCUAGUAGGUGGGGUAACGGCUCACCUAGUCGACGAUCCCUAGCUGGUCUGAGAGGAUGACCAGCCACUCUGGAACUGAGACACGGUCCAGACUCCUACGGGAGGCAGCAGUGGGGAAUAUUGCACAAUGGGCGCAAGCCUGAUGCAGCCAUGCCGCGUGUAUGAAGAAGGCCUUCGGGUUGUAAAGUACUUUCAGCGGGGAGGAAGGGAGUAAAGUUAAUACCUUUGCUCAUUGACGUUACCCGCAGAAGAAGCACCGGCUAACUCCGUG